RNAcentral lists this ribosomal RNA (721 nucleotides) under uncultured bacterium. Its description in RNAcentral is "bacterial SSU rRNA". It matches the Rfam family "Bacterial small subunit ribosomal RNA", at positions 750 to 1482 of the family's 1533-position model. The record is from RNAcentral.
GACGCGAAAGCUCGGGGAGCGAACGGGAUUAGAAACCCCGGUAGUCCGAGCCGUAAACGAUGUUGACUAGGCGUGCCAGGCUUCAACUCUUGGCGUGCCGGAGCAAACGCGAUAAGUCAACCGCCUGGGGACUACGGCCGCAAGGUUAAAACUCAAAGGAAUUGACGGGGACCCGCACAAGCAGCGGAGCGUGUGGUUUAAUUCGAGGCUACGCGAAGAACCUUACCAGGGAUUGACAUGUAUGUAGUAGUGAAGCGAAAGCGGAACGAGCCUUCGGGCAGCAUACACAGGUGAUGCAUGGCUGUCGUCAGCUCGUGCCGUGAGGUGUUUGGUUAAGUCCACUAACGAGCGCAACCCUUAGAACCAGUUACAAGUGUCUGGUUCGACUGCCGGUAUCAAGCCGGAGGAAGGUGGGGAUGACGUCAAGUCAGCAUGUCCUUUAUAUCCUGGGCUACACACACGCUACAAUGGCCGGUACAGAAGGUUGCGAAGCCGCGAGGCGGAGCCAAUCCUGCAAAGCCGGUCUCAGUUCGGAUUGGAGGCUGCAACUCGCCUCCAUGAAGUCGGAGUUGCUAGUAAACGCAGGACAGCCAUACUGCGUUGAAUACGUUCCCGGGUCUUGUACACACCGCCCGUCACGUCAUGGGAGCGGGUUCUGCCAGAAGUAGUUAGCCUAACCGCAAGGGGGGCGAUUACCACGGCAGGGUUCGUGACUGGGGUG